This 253-nucleotide ribosomal RNA is filed under the name uncultured bacterium. RNAcentral describes it as "partial 16S ribosomal RNA". It matches the Rfam family "Bacterial small subunit ribosomal RNA", at positions 524 to 776 of the family's 1533-position model. The record is from RNAcentral.
UACGUAGGUGGCUAGCGUUGUCCGGAUUUACUGGGCGUAAAGAGCGCGCAGGCGGUCGUUCAAGUCGAGUGUGAAAGCCCCCGGCUCAACUGGGGAGGGUCAUUCGAUACUGAUCGUCUGGAAGGCAGGAGAGGGAAGCGGAAUUCCCGGUGUAGUGGUGAAAUGCGUAGAUAUCGGGAGGAACACCAGUGGCGAAGGCGGCUUCCUGGCCUGUUCUUGACGCUGAGGCGCGAAAGCUAGGGGAGCAAACGGG